Molecule: ribosomal RNA, 774 nt
Filed under: uncultured Neocallimastigales
Lineage: Eukaryota; Fungi; Neocallimastigomycota; Neocallimastigomycetes; Neocallimastigales
Description: partial large subunit ribosomal RNA
Rfam family: Eukaryotic large subunit ribosomal RNA
Source: RNAcentral
CGCAUCUGUGCAUGCAGCAUAUCAAUAAGCGGAGGAAAAGAAACUAACAAGGAUUCCCCUAGUAACGGCGAGUGAAGCGGGAAGAGCUCAAAUUUGAAAUCUUAAAGGGUUUCCCUUUACGAAUUGUAGUUUAAAGAAGUGUUUUCUGUUGAGGUUUUGGUAAAAGUUCUUUGGAAUAGGACAUCAUAGAGGGUGAGAAUCCCGUAUUUGACCUUUACUUUCAACUUUGUGAUACACUUUCAAAGAGUCGGAUUGUUUGGGAAUGCAGUCCAAAAUGGGUGGUAAAUUUCAUCUAAAGCUAAAUAUUGGCGAGAGACCGAUAGCGAACAAGUACCGUGAGGGAAAGAUGAAAAGAACUUUGAAAAGAGAGUUAAACAGUACGUGAAAUUGUCAAAAGGGGAGCGUUUGACACCAGUGUUGUUUUUCUGAAAAUCAAUUAAAGAACUGUUUAUGCUAAGUUGUUUAGACUUUAUCAGCUAACUGUUUAGUUUUGAGCUUUUCUUUAAUGCACUUUUCAGUUAACAAGUCAACAUCAAUUUCUUUUGCUGUAAAAAAGCUUGAGGAAGGUGGCUUGAGAUUCGUCUUAAGUGUUUAUAGCCUCUCGCCUAUGCAGUCGGAGAGAUUGAGGUCUGCAGCGUAGAUCCUUCGGGGCUAAAUGCAUUUGUGCUAAGUUAUAGCAUUUUAUAGACAACUUGUUGACUAUGAUUUGUCUUGUAGCUUACUCGCUUAUGUUAUUUUACCUACGCUUAGGAUGUUGAAUCUGUGCGAGACUAC